CCCUUAGAUGUUCUGGGCUGCACGCGCGCUACACUGAUGCGCUCAACGAGUUUACGACCUUGCCCGGAAGGGUUGGGUAAUCUUUUUAAAACGCAUCGUGAUGGGGAUAGAUUAUUGCAAUUAUUAAUCUUUAACGAGGAAUUCCUAGUAAGCGCGAGUCAUCAGCUCGUGCUGAUUACGUCCCUGCCCUUUGUACACACCGCCCGUCGCUCCUACCGAUUGGGUGUGCUGGUGAAAUGUUCGGAUCGGCCGUUUGUCGCGGUUUCCGCGGCUCGUGGCUGAGAAGUUCAUUAAACCCUCCCACCGAGAGGAAGGAGAAGUCGUAACA
This 328-nucleotide ribosomal RNA is filed under the name uncultured eukaryote. Its description in RNAcentral is "partial 18S ribosomal RNA". It matches the Rfam family "Eukaryotic small subunit ribosomal RNA", at positions 1470 to 1796 of the family's 1831-position model. The record is from RNAcentral.